This 384-nucleotide ribosomal RNA is filed under the name uncultured bacterium. Its description in RNAcentral is "bacterial SSU rRNA". It matches the Rfam family "Bacterial small subunit ribosomal RNA", at positions 46 to 392 of the family's 1533-position model. The record is from RNAcentral.
GGCCGCGGGAAUUCGAUUCAGGCCUAACACAUGCAAGUCGAACGGGAUCCAUCAAGCUUGCUUGGUGGUGAGAGUGGCGACCGGGUGAGUAAUGCGUGACCGACUUGCCCCAUACAAAAGAAUAGCUCCUGGAAACGGGUGGUAAUGCCGGAUGUUCCAGUUGAUCGCAUGGUCUUCUGGGAAAGCUUUCGCGGUAUGGGAUGGGGUCGCGUCCUAUCAGCUUGACGGCGGGGUAACGGCCCCCCGUGGCUUAGACGGGUAGCCGGCCUGAGAGGGCGACCGGCCACAUUGGGACUGAGAUACGGCCCAGACUCCUACGGGAGGCAGCAGUGGGGAAUAUUGCACAAUGGGAGCAAGCCUGAUGCAGCAACGCCGCGUGAGGGA